Molecule: ribosomal RNA, 462 nt
Filed under: uncultured bacterium
Lineage: Bacteria
Description: SSU rRNA
Rfam family: Bacterial small subunit ribosomal RNA
Source: RNAcentral
AGCCUGAACGCUGGCGGCGUGGCUAAGACAUGCAAGUCGUACGGGCGUAGCAAUACGUCAGUGGCGAACGGGUGAGUAAAGUAUCGCUAACGUACCCCUCAGUCUGGGAUAGCCGGGGGAAACUCCGGGUAAUACCAGGUGACAUUCUCUGCCUGCAUGGGCGGAGACUCAAAGGGAAACCGUUGAGGGAGCGGGCGAUAUCGUAUCAGCUAGUUGGUGAGGUAACGGCUCACCAAGGCGACGACGCGUAGCCGGGCUGAGAGGUCGGCCGGCCACAUUGGGACUGAGACACUGCCCAGACUCCUACGGGGGCUGCAGUAACGAAUCUUCCGCAAUGCACGCAAGUGUGACGGAGCGACGCCGCGUGUGGGACGAAGUCCUUCGGGAUGUAAACCACUGUCAGGGUAAGAAAGUUCUGAUCUACCCAGAGGAAGGCACGGCUAACUCUGUGCCAGCAGCCGC